GAUGAACGCUGGCGGCGUGCUUAACACAUGCAAGUCGAACGGGAAGUCCCAAUCUUGCUUGGGUACUCGAGUGGCGAACGGGUGAGUAGCACUUGGGUGAUCUGCCCUGCACUUCGGGAUAAGCCUAGGCAACUGGGUCUAAUACGGGCUAGGACCACUUCCUGGUGGUUGGGGUGGAAAGUUUUUUGGGUGUGGGUUGGGUGCGCGGCCUAUCAGCUGGUGGGUGGGGGAAUGGCCUAGCGGGGCGUCGGCGGGUAGCCGGCGUGGGAGGGUGAGCGGCCACAUCGAGACUGGGACACGGACCAGACUCAUACGCGAGGCAGCAGUGGGAAAUACUGAUAAAGGGGCGCAAGCCAGAUGCAGAGACGCCGCGGGGGGGAUGACGGUCUUGGGGUUGUAAACUCAUUGCGCUAGGGACGAAGCGUUUUGUGACAGUACCUGGAGAAGAAGCACCGGCUAACUACGUG
Molecule: ribosomal RNA, 467 nt
Filed under: uncultured bacterium
Lineage: Bacteria
Description: partial 16S ribosomal RNA
Rfam family: Bacterial small subunit ribosomal RNA
Source: RNAcentral